This is a long non-coding RNA of Uranotaenia lowii, 370 nucleotides long. RefSeq lists it as uncharacterized. The record is from RefSeq and is a predicted model, not a curated record. Lineage: Eukaryota; Metazoa; Arthropoda; Insecta; Diptera; Culicidae. The transcript has 3 exons.
ACAAAGUUUGUUGAUAAAUUGGAUCCAAUGUUUCUAAAUUUUUCAUUUUUCAUAAUCACCGGUGCUUCAAUUUGGUUAAUUUUCAGGCUAGAACUGCGGUGAGGAAGAAUUCGGAAGGUUAAAACCGAUUCCCCAGAAAAUCACCAGUCUUCACACCUCAUAGACCCUCGGUCGAGAUGGAAGGGAAUCAACAGUGAAUUAAGGGUAAGUUUUAUGUAUCGUCCAAUCUUUUGAACAGAUACUAAUCAAGGUUUUGUGUUUGUUUUUUUUUUCCUCUCUUUUCAGGUUUCGAGUCAGCGCCGGAACGGACACGAUGAUAUUCAUCAGCGAAGUUGGACUGGUUCACCCUCGUAAACCUGAGAGAAAUAUU